GUCUUUCCUCCCGUUGCCUCUACGUGCUGCAUCAGGUGCUUGUGACUACGCGUUCGAAAGUCAGGUACCUGAAGUAGCGCGCGGAAGGCUUCGGGGCUGGU
This 101-nucleotide microRNA precursor is filed under the name Ixodes scapularis (black-legged tick). RNAcentral describes it as "microRNA isc-mir-275 precursor". Its record names the gene isc-mir-275. The stretch from base 8 to 96 matches the Rfam family "mir-275 microRNA precursor family". Lineage: Eukaryota; Metazoa; Arthropoda; Arachnida; Ixodida; Ixodidae. The record is from miRBase by way of RNAcentral.